UGUGAUGGAACCUCCCAAGUAAUUAGGCCCACCUACAGUUGUCCUUGUCCAACAGACAUCAAACACCCUGUAGAUGUUCCUAAGUCACUUGACAAGUUCGGUAUCUUUCCUUACCUUACCAGGAACGUUUCACCCGUCUUGCAGACAUUACAGAACAUCGGAGGUAAAGAAAUGCGGAAGCAAUUACAUAAACUUACAUUUGUUUAGAAAGUAAGAUCAAGUUACUUUUUACAGACCAGAGCUAUAAACGAGUGCUGAGUAUUAUUAUUACACAUAUCAAGGGAGGCAGAAACUCCUCCCGAUAGCUUUUAAACAAAAAGAUCCUAUAUGGAGGACCACGUCCUCCCGCAUCUUCACUCUUGUUUUUCUUCAUUUGGUACCACCUUGGAGCAAAAGCAACAAAAAUUUGUCGCUUCCUCACCUAAAAACAACAAAGGGAUAAACCCUGAGUAUGGAAUUACUCAGCAAGUCUUACCCGACUAAGGAAAAGACUCUCAAGGGUAUGCUGGAUAAAUAGGAGUCAAGGAGACGCUUUAGCAAAAAUCAACUUAUACUUUUGCAGAAGUAGCUUACUAAAGUGAGUCCUUACUUUCAAUCUUUUAACGCCAUAUUAAGUAUUAAUAGACUCUAUUUGCAUCUAGUCUAAUUUCACAUCACAUCAAGACAACAUCAUUUUUAUCCAUAGUGUUCACGUCCUGACUUUAGGUUGCAGGUCAGUGAUCAAGUCUCCACUCUCCGGGGAUAUAACGGCGAUCCGAAUCGAUUUACUCAGCUGAGGAUCUCUAACCACACGACAUAUGUAGCACUUAAUCCUUGCAUAUGUCAACUCGACCCCAGGGUUCUUAAGACCAGAUCAGGUUCACGCAAACCGAGAGCACAGAUACACCACCGUCCAGCCUCUUGCCACGGAGGGUACACGCUACUCCCGCCACCGCUCCACGCCCAUUUCGUGUUAUCUUAUUCUGGCCUUAGUCUGCCCGAGGCAAAGCUUACCCUGUCCCAUUUCCAGGGUAUGCGGCUAGCUAAGAUAGUCCUUGCUCUAUCAAGCCUACAUACGCAUUCAAUCCUUAAUCAACCUGGGUAGAACAUCACCUGUUCCUAGCCCAAGUCUCGAUUUAAGUAUUUCCAUCCUUAGGAUUGUUUCUGUUCCUUAGGAUGAAAAGAGCAUCACAGGGAACUUUGCAGUAAGAUCCCACCAUGCUCCCAAUGAAAAUAUAUUCUUGCAGGUAGAAGUCAUCUUUCCUCAGGAUAACCCCUGAGCAAGGCCUUAACGCAAAAGACAACUUCCAUCCACAAGAUCUAAGCAGGGCUAAGCAUUUUUGUAAAUCAAAUUUUGAUACUUCCAAGAAGUAUCUAUAACGGGUAUGGAUAUCAAGGAAGGCAAUGCAUCAAAGGGUUUCAAGCAACUCCUAUAAACUUAAUGCACAUUUCACUAGACUUAAAGUGUGCGAAAAGUAUUUAAAAACACAAGGAAGGGGUUGCAUGCACCGGGGCUUGCCUUUGUUUAUAGAUGAGUUAGUCUCAGGCCCGCAGAUGUUAAAGUAGAGACGAGACCCUGCCUGAGACUCCAAAGGUGGUGUUGUCUUCGCUUCAGGGACUUCCACUUCUUCUUCGCGUUCUAAAUAUAACCAUAUAGGUAUAUAUAAGAAUGAAUGCCAUGUAAUGCAAACUCUUACAAGGAGAGGUGGAGAACAGAAACACUACAACUAAAGCACAUGACAAGAAUAUACCUAUUUCUUAUUGCUCGAUUAAAGUGACCAAAUUGAAAUCACUUGGGUAAACCAGGGAAUUACCCCAACCAAGGUCUCAAGCAAAAGCUUAAAACUCCUUAAGUAACUUCAUCCAAGGGUCAAGAUCUCACUAGAUCAACAUGCCUCUGCCCCAAAAGCACUUAGUUCCAUAAUUAAGUAAGGAUUUAAUAACUAUUUUUGGAAUUUUUCUGUGAUUUCUAACAUAAUUUAUAAGCUCUUGAUAAAAGAAAAGACAAGGCUGUCAACAGUGUUGGGCCCCAAAUUGCUGGCGCGACCCAACAACCAGGCAAAGCUGGCCCAAACCCGGGAGCCCGCGCCCGCUUUGGCCAUCUUGCCCAAAGGACCUUGCGCUCUGGUUAAAAUAAUCCGAGCUCCCAGCCACUGUUGCUUGUGUCUCUGACAUCUUCGCUAAAACCCCUCGGCUACCACUCUUUUACAAGCACUCGGCCCUGACACUGCCCGCUCGGACUCCGGUGACCCAGUGCCAGCUCGGCCAUGGUGGCGCAACACCGGCGACGGCGAUGGUACCCACGUGAACCCCGAAUCGCAGUGAACUCGGGUAUGGGCUCAAUCGAUCCGUGAGAACUCCACAACCCAUCUAUCGACAGCGACGGCAGAGCACUGGAUUUGACGAACUUAAUUCCCCGAUCACCGCACGGUAGUGUUCAAACAAACGGGCCAGGGAGCUUUAGAGACCUCUCGAGUCUACGGUGCGCGCAUGCAAUCGCUCGGGAACUGGCGUGGUUAAUAUAGUUCACACCGAGGCUGUCCUCGGCGCCCGACUGCGACGGCGCGACCAUGUUCUACUCAACGUAUGGUGGUAAAGCUUGAACAAACCACUUGAUCAGCUUCACUGAUCAAUACAGAGCAUGGAACACAAGCCAUACGGGUGAGAAACUUUCUAAGCAUACCUGGCCACGGUGAAAUGGAGGAUCUGCAGGUGUUCAGUGCCUUGAUUAAUGGAUUUGGGGCGUGUCCAGGUUAUGAUUUUGGAGGAAGGGAACACAAUACAACUAACUGAAGCUACACAUGGUGAUCAAGAACUGAGACAAGGAUUACUCCUCUGCUCCUGCUCCUUUCCCCCAUGGUUUGCUCUUUAUAUAGGCAGUGAAAGGAUCAAGGGGCUGGAUUUUUGAUCUUGCAACAAGGAUAACUAUGAAUACUAGGUGCAGCUGUGGCUCCCUCCAGAAGAUCCACGCAAUUACACAGAGCCUAGUCAGAUAGGGUGAAGUUUAUCCAGGGCAAAAAGGAGGGGAUAAGGAUGGAGCGCACUGUAGCAGAUUUUUGUACUGGUGAUAUUUCAGUGAUGCACCAAUCUGAAUACCCCUGCCAGCACUUCAUCUUUAUCUGAUCCCAGGUUGGUCACGGCAAGGAGGGUAAAUAUCAAGGGUAGAUAUUUUAGCUUUUCUGAAUCUUCAGCAGAUAACUGAUUCUCCCCCUUCAGUCAGCCCUUUCUCCAUAUUCUGAUUAAGAACAGGGAAAUCACCAUUAACAGAACUUGCUCAUUAGUCCAAGGUCUACCAAGUCUCUAUAGAUUUCAUGGACCCAAACCUCCUAGAAUAGAGGUUAUGGAAUUCAAAAGUUGACUGCAAAAUCUAGUUACCAUUUCUGUUUGCCUGAUCCAAAGUUUCAGUUUUUUGCCCCAUUGCCUUCUUCUUGACAGGGAUAGUUUUAGGCGCCCUUAUCUCCUAAAUCUCCAUAACACCAGGCCAAAGUUUCUUAAUCAAACUCUCUCAUGAAUACAAGCUUUUCAGCUUUGCUUAAAUCAACCUGGCACCAAGUCGCAUAGGACAGUACCAGCAAGGCCUCAAAGUUGCUCAGACAGAAAUUUAAAGUAGAUCAGUCUGAACUAUAUCCUUCAGUCUUGCGCAGCUGACUUAUCAUCUUUGGACGCCUGAAUCUUCCAACUUUGUAUAGUGUUAAGCUAUGGUCCUUUAAUAAAUAUUGUUCAUAGAUACUACCUCUCCCACUUUGCUGUAGAUACUUGGGCACAAAGCUACACGGAACAGCCUUUGCAAGCCCACAAAGUGGAGCAGACAGAUAGGUAUUCAGAACAGAGUUAUCUGAUGAGGACCCAUAAACCUGACAGUCCAAUUUGAGUAACCUUUAAUCAAAUAUUUGUGUAGAAUCAAGUCUAACCCUCUUCAUAAAACUUAUUCUCUGUACUAUGGACUCCAACUUUGCCACAUAGUUCAUAGUCCAAAACCACAAGGGUUGGUCACAAUAGGGCUCUAAACUUUGCAUCACUACUGAUUUCAGGCUUUAAAUUCUGAAUAGACUAAGUCACUAGCCACCUGACAGUCCAACCUUUGAGCAGCUGCUACUUCACUUUUUAUGUGGGAUCAUGUCCAUCAUCCUUCAAUAAAGUUGUUCACCAUUAGGUGGUCUUCAAUUCCUAUAUAUACUCUACAGUCUAAAACCUAAUGGAUUAGGCACAAAUGGGCUCCAAAAACAGCAACUUUCACAAAAAUUCAGUUUUCAGUAACUGAAUACAAUUCAGUUUCAGCCACAAACAGUCCACUUUGAACAAGUUUUUCUCCAUUUUCUGUGUAGGAUCAGGUCAAACUCACUUGAAUAAACUUGUUCAACAUCAUAUGGGCUUCAACUCCACUAUAAACACCACAACACAAAACCUUAUAGAAUGGCCACAAAUAGGCUUCAAAACUGCUAUCAAAACACUGAAAUUCAGUUUCAGUUACUGUUUCCAAUCUGAAAAUUCAGAAACACAGCAGCACCACGUAGAACCACUCUUUUUCCUGGGUUCCAACUGUUUUUAGGGGCAUGUUGCUUAAUAAAGUUUAUACUCCUAUAGUUCCUCUACAAGUUUGAUAUAGUGACUACUAACCAAAACCUCUUGAAUUCCAAACUACAAUAGCCCAAAGUUUGCUCCAAUUGCUGAAAUUCAGAAUCUGAAUUUCACUAAGUCUGAAAUCCACAAUUUUUGACAGCUUUACUUUGGACCAGUUUUACUCAAAGUUCCAUAUAGUUUUAGAGCUAUAUGACUUAACCAAACUUAUACUCCUCAUGUAGCUCUAUAACUUUGUUACAAUGAUCAUCUUCAAACUGUUUAUAGAUCAAAUGUUAUGAAGGCCCAAAAAUAGCUAGUUGAUAUUAUUUUCAGCAAACUUCAAAUCUGAUUCAAAACUGAAUUAAACUUUUUACUCCAACUUUUCCCCUAAAACUUGGAAUUCUCCAUACAUGAAAGUUGUUCAACUUUCCAAAAUCUACAACUUUGAUAUAUGGACCACUAGCAAAUUCUCUCUAGAUUUAAAACUCCACUUUAGGGCUAGUUGAGGGUUUCAAAUGUGACUCCUCAUCUAGUGAUUUAUCAACUCAAUCCAACUCUAGUACAUGAAACUCAUGUCCAAAGUGUCCUUGGUUUAGGAGUUGCUUUGCUUAUCCACAAAUCACAAGGAAGGUUUUCAAAUCUCACUUAGGGUUUUGAGGUCAAUCCUUCGGCCCAAGUAUUUCUUCCACUUGAUCUAACUUUGAAAACAAGGUUGCUAUAGACUCUAGGACUUGCCUUUAAUACUUUAAAUCCUAAGCCAGCUUACUACUUGCUCAAGAGACGACUUCUCUUCCCAUGUCUUAAGCAAAGUUCUUAAUCUGAGCCCUAUACUCUUAUACACAACACCACAUUCAUUGAAAAUUUUUGACCUAGUGAAUGCAUUCUAGGUGUAACAAGCACAUUAAUGCAGAUGCUUAUGAUGACAUGUCAGAGUUUUAGUUUACGUAACACCAGGGGUGUUACAGCCUUCCCCCCUAAAAGAAAUCUCGUCCCGAGAUUUAAAAGUCUAGGCUCAGUAACGGAAAAGGAAAUGUGUCACAAACUUAUUUCCCAAUUUCUCCUACCAAACAGGGGUGUGCCACUGUUGGUUUAAAAUUCACAAACCCUAAGGUUUUCCAAAAACUCAAAACUUAGGGCAAGGACUUUGUCUUCUAAAUAUCCCUCUGACCAUCUACAUGGUUUCAUCUUCUGUGGGGGUAGUUCCACUGUACCCUGUAAGACUUGAUAUCUUUCUGUGUUUUAUCCAAGAUGUUGCAUCUAAUUUGGAUAAAGUCUAUCCAUUUGUCCAAACUCACAUGGGAAAUCAGGUGAUACCAUUUCAUCACAAAACAUAAUUAAAAAUUAUGGUCUCAGCGUGUGCUAAGUCAUUUAUCCGCACACGCGCAUUCGCAUGGAAUAUCCAAAGGAAUAGCCAUCAUAACUCUUGAAGUUUGACAAACUACUAUAGAUAUUAAAAGUUGCCUCUGAAACAGGCAGUCGUUUCUUACACCAUAGUCAUAGAAAAGCUCACAGGUUACAUGAUCCAGGUGAAACAGGAUAAACUCUUUACAACAAAGUUUAACCUGUUUUUUUUUUACUAGCUAACAUUGCCAUAUGGGUUUACCUUACACCCACCCUUCAAAACUAAUUUACAUAGUUAUAUUACCUCACGAGGAUUAACUUGCCUGCUAUAUCUUCUCCAGUUAUCACAUCUGCCAGAUGUUUGUUUCCAUGCUCCAUAGGUACCUUUUAGUCCGUUGGUGUUGGGGCAGAAUAAAAGGCGCCAUUGAGCAUAUGCACCGUUUGUUGCAGAUGGUUGACCAGUCGCUGCGCUGCUUGAAAUUCCAUUGGAUGAGCACAAUUCAAUUCCUUGAUCGCCUGAUCCUGAUGGCUUAUGAAUCUUAGGGUUUCCUUAAGGUCUUCUCUAACAGCAACAACAUACAAGUGAAUUUCUUCUUGUUGCUGACUUAGAACUUCUGAUUUAGAAUGAGCAUUAGUUAGCUGAUGCUCAAGCUCCUUAAUGUGAUUCUGAUCAGCUUGGUGUUGCGUCUGAAGUUCUGUCACCUGAUGCUUUAGUCCAAUAACCUGUUCUGCUUGAACCUUUGUUUCCUCCAGUCGUUCUUGUGCCUGGGUACAAGCCCUAUUCUUGGCCGUUUCCAUCAUCUUAAAUGCUGCAUAACUCCCAGUGUACAACUGCUGCCACUUUUGACGACUGUGCCCUCGAGUAAGCUGCAACUCUAGCACGGCCAUCAAUACUCGAGCAGAUGCCGAUUCUACAGAAUCCUGCCCAAUAGGAAUGCUUUCCAAUAAUCGGGCCUGGUGAUGAUACACCAAUGGGUCACUUAAAGCAACUGCAGGGAACAACCUCAUAGAUGUGGCUUGUAUUUCCUCCCAUUUCUGGUAACAAAUGGUUGUUAGCGCCUCUAAGGCAGCUACCUGAGCACCCUCCCAAGGAGUCAUUCCUUCAGCAUGGAACAUCCAAUGUGGCCAAGAUGGCUUUCUAGCACGUUCUGGAAUACGCGCUACUACCUCAUACCAUGGUUGUCCUCUAAGAACAGUGCGUGACCACUGGUACUUGGGUGUUUCGAUAUAUCCGACUUCUUGAAGUAGUCGCCACAGGACCAAUGGAACACCAAAAUCUCGUAGAAACUCUCCAACUCCGGUAGGGGCUUCUUGUUGAUUCAUCUUCAGAGAAGAGCAACGGAACACUCUACUUACUAAAAAUGUAUGAACAAGGUAGCUACAUAGGGGGUUUAAUUUAAAGGUUGUAUGACAUGAUGCAUGUGUAAAUACAGAAUCAACCUUAGUUGAUUCAUCCUUCUAUACGUUGCACUCUUCCUAUCUGGUCUUUUAAGAUAAACUCUUCAGAAUACUUAGGUAAGAAAGGAAGAAAGUUUCUAGGUAAGAAUUUUAGAAAAUCCUUUUGAAGAUGCCUCAUAAUAUCUGCAAAGAAGGGCUACGCUCCGAUACUAGCUGUGACGGAACCUCCCAAGUAAUUAGACCCACCUACAGUUGUCCUUGUCCAACAGACAUCAGACACCCUGUAGAUGUUCCUAAGUCACUUGACAAGUUUGGUAUCUUUCCUUACCUUACCAGGAACGUUUCACCCGUCUUGCAGACAUUACAGAACAUCGGAGAUAAAGAAAUGCGGAAGCAAUUACAUAAACUUACAUUUGUUUAGAAAGUAAGAUCAAGUUACUUUUUACAGACCAGAGCUAUAAACGAGUGCUGAGUAUUAUUAUUACACAUAUCAAGGGAGGCAGAAACUCCUCCCGAUAGCUUUUAAACAAAAAGAUCCUAUAUGGAGGACCACGUCCUCCCGCAUCUUCACUCUUGUUUUUCUUCAUUUGGUACCACCUUGGAGCAAAAGCAACAAAAAUUUGUCGCUUCCUCACCUAAAAACAACAAAGGGAUAAACCCUGAGUAUGGAAUUACUCAGCAAGUCUUACCCGACUAAGGAAAAGACUCUCAAGGGUAUGCUGGAUAAAUAGGAGUCAAGGAGAGGCUUUAGCAAAAAUCAACUUAUACUUUUGCAGAAGUAGCUUACUAAAGUGAGUCCUUACUUUCAAUCUUUUAACGCCAUAUUAAGUAUUAAUAGACUCUAUUUGCAUCUAGUCUAAUUUCACAUCACAUCAAGACAACAUCAUUUUUAUCCAUAGUGUUCACAUCCUGACUUUAGGUUGCAGGUCAGUGAUCAAGUCUCCACUCUCCGGGGAUAUAACGGCGAUCCGAAUCGAUUUACUCAGCUGAGGAUCUCUAACCACACGACAUAUGUAGCACUUAAUCCUUCCAUAUGUCAACUCGACCCCAGGGUUCUUAAGACCAGAUUAGGUUCACGCAAACCGAGAGCACAGAUACACCACCGUCCAGCCUCUUGCCACGGAGGGUACACGCUACUCCUGCCACCGCUCCACGCCCAUUUCGUGUUAUCUUAUUCUGGCCUUAGUCUGCCCGAGGCAAAGCUUGCCCUGUCCCAUUUCCAGGGUAUGCGGCUAGCUAAGAUAGUCCUUGCUCUAUCAAGCCUACAUACGCAUUCAAUCCUUAAUCAACCUGGGUAGAACAUCACCUGUUCCUAGCCCAAGUCUCGAUUUAAGUAUUUCCAUCCUUAGGAUUGUUUCUGUUCCUUAGGAUGAAAAGAGCAUCAUAGGGAACUUUGCAGUAAGAUCCCACCAUGCUCCCAAUGAAAAUAUAUUCUUGCAGGUAGAAGUCAUCUUUCCUCAGGAUAACCCCUGAGCAAGGCCUUAACGCAAAAGACAACUUCCAUCCACAAGAUCUAAGCAGGGCUAAGCAUUUUUGUAAAUCAAAUUUUGAUACUUCCAAGAAGUAUCUAUAACGGGUAUGGAUAUCAAGGAAGGCAAUGCAUCAAAGGGUUUCAAGCAACUCCUAUAAACUUAAUGCACAUUUCACUAGACUUAAAGUGUGCGAAAAGUAUUUAAAAACACAAGGAAGGGUUUGCAUGCACCGGGGCUUGCCUUUGUUUAUAGAUGAGUUAGUCUCAGGCCCGCAGAUGUUAAAGUAGAGACGAGACCCUGCCUGAGACUCCAAAGGUGGUGUUGUCUUCGCUUCAGGGACUUCCACUUCUUCUUCGCGUUCUAAAUAUAACCAUAUAGGUAUAUAUAAGAAUGAAUGCCAUGUAAUGCAAACUCUUACAAGGAGAGGUGGAGAACAGAAACACUACAACUAAAGCACAUGACAAGAAUAUACCUAUUUCUUAUUGCUCGAUUAAAGUGACCAAAUUGAAAUCACUUGGGUAAACCAGGGAAUUACCCCAACCAAGGUCUCUAGCAAAAGCUUAAAACUCCUUAAGUAACUUCAUCCAAGGGUCAAGAUCUCACUAGAUCAACAUGCCUCUGCCCCAAAAGCACUUAGUUCCAUAAUUAAGUAAGGAUUUAAUAACUAUUUUUGGAAUUUUUCUGUGAUUUCUAACAUAAUUUAUAAGCUCUUGAUAAAAGAAAAGACAAGGCUAUCAACAGUGUUGGGCCCCAAAUUGCUGGCGCGACCCAACAACCAGGCAAAGCUGGCACAAACCCGGGAGCCCGCGCCCGCUUUGGCCAUCUUGCACAAAGGACCUUGCGCUCUGGUUAAAAUAAUCCGAGCUCCCAGCCACUGUUGCUUGUGUCUCUGACAUCUUCGCUAAAACCCCUCGGCUACCACUGUUUUACAAGCACUCGGCCCUGACACUGCCCGCUCGCACUCCGGUGACCCAGUGCCAGCUCGGCCAUGGUGGCGCAACACCGGCGACGGCGAUGGUACCCACGUGAACCCCGAAUCGCAGUGAACUCGGGUAUGGGCUCAAUCGAUCCGUGAGAACUCCACAACCCAUCUAUCGACAGCGAUGGCAGAGCACUGGAUUUGACGAACUUAAUUCCCCGAUCACCGCACGGUAGUGUUCAAACAAACGGGCCAGGGAGCUUUAGAGACCUCUCGAGUCUACGAUGCGCGCAUGCAAUCGCUCGGGAACUGGCGUGGUUAAUAUAGUUCACACCGAGGCUGUCCUCGGCGCCCGACUGCGACGGCGCGACCAUGUUCUACUCAACGUAUGGUGGUAAAGCUUGAACAAACCACUUGAUCAGCUUCACUGAUCAAUACAGAGCAUGGAACACAAGCCAUACGGGUGAGAAACUUUCUAAGCAUACCUGGCCACGGUGAAGUGGAGGAUCUGCAGGUGUUCAGUGCCUUGAUUAAUGGAUUUGGGGCGUGUCCAGGUUAUGAUUUUGGAGGAAGGGAACACAGUACAACUAACUGAAGCUACACAUGGUGAUCAAGAACUGAGACAAGGAUUACUCCUCUGCUCCUGCUCCUUUCCCCCCAUGGUUUGCUCUUUAUAUAGGCAGUGAAAGGAUCAAGGGGCUGGAUUUUUGAUCUUGCAACAAGGAUAACUAUGAAUACUAGGUGCAGUUGUGGCUCCCUCCAGAAGAUCCACGCAAUUAC
RNAcentral lists this long non-coding RNA (10449 nucleotides) under Zea mays. RNAcentral describes it as "long non-coding RNA (ZMAY_LNC000873)". The record is from RNAcentral. Lineage: Eukaryota; Viridiplantae; Streptophyta; Magnoliopsida; Poales; Poaceae.